RNAcentral lists this ribosomal RNA (586 nucleotides) under uncultured Sebacina. Its description in RNAcentral is "eukaryotic LSU rRNA". The stretch from base 224 to 377 matches the Rfam family "5.8S ribosomal RNA". The record is from RNAcentral. Lineage: Eukaryota; Fungi; Basidiomycota; Agaricomycetes; Sebacinales; Sebacinaceae.
AAGUCGUAACAAGGUUUCCGUAGGUGAACCUGCGGAAGGAUCAUUAUUGAUUGCGAAUGUUGCCUUCAGUGCUGGCCAGCAGCUCGCUCUGGCAAGUGCACGUCGGUGGCUUUCAUCCACUACCCUGUGCACCUUUGGCCUCUUGCUAGCUUCGGCUGGCAGAGGAAUUUUACACAAACUCGAAUGUAAUGAAAUUUACUGUCGUGCGCAAGCACUAAUGUACAACUUUCAACAACGGAUCUCUUGGCUCUCGCAUCGAUGAAGAACGCAGCGAAAUGCGAUAAGUAAUGUGAAUUGCAGAAUUCAGUGAAUCAUCGAAUCUUUGAACGCACCUUGCACCCUUUGGCAUUCCGAAGGGUAUGCUCGUUUGAGUGUCAUUGUACUCUCACUCUCCCGAUCUUUGGAUCGGGAGUGGUGGACUUGGGUGUUGCUGCUUUACCGUGGCUCACCUCAAAUGGAUUCGUGCAACUCCUGGUUGGACAUAGUACGGCGUGAUAAGUGUCUUCGCCGGCACCUCACUAGAGGGUGGCUGACCGGGAGCUCUGUGCUUCAAACCGUCUUCGGACAACAACUGACAACUGACCUC